RNAcentral lists this ribosomal RNA (787 nucleotides) under uncultured marine bacterium. RNAcentral's name for it is "bacterial SSU rRNA". It matches the Rfam family "Bacterial small subunit ribosomal RNA", at positions 14 to 794 of the family's 1533-position model. The record is from RNAcentral.
UGAUCCUGGCUCAGGAUGAACGCUAGCGGCAGGCUUAACACAUGCAAGUCGAGGGGUAACAGGGAGUGCUUGCACUCUGCUGACGACCGGCGCACGGGUGCGUAACGCGUAUGCAACCUACCUUCUACAGGGGGAUAGUCCAGAGAAAUUUGGCAUAAUACCCCAUACGAUCAUUUAUUGGCAUCGAUAGAUGAGGAAAACUCCGGUGGUAGAAGAUGGGCAUGCGUCCUAUUAGUUAGUUGGUAAGGUAACGGCUUACCAAGACAUCGAUAGGUAGGGGUCCUGAGAGGGAGAUCCCCCACACUGGUACUGAGACACGGACCAGACUCCUACGGGAGGCAGCAGUGAGGAAUAUUGGACAAUGGAGGCAACUCUGAUCCAGCCAUGCCGCGUGCAGGAAGACGGCCCUACGGGUUGUAAACUGCUUUUAUACAGGAAGAAACGCCGCUACGUGUAGCGGUUUGACGGUACUGUACGAAUAAGGAUCGGCUAACUCCGUGCCAGCAGCCGCGGUAAUACGGAGGAUCCAAGCGUUAUCCGGAAUCAUUGGGUUUAAAGGGUCCGUAGGCGGUUUUUUAAGUCAGAGGUGAAAUCCUGCAGCUCAACUGUAGCAUUGCCUUUGAUACUGAAAGACUUGAGUUAUUGUGAAGUAGUUAGAAUGUGUAGUGUAGCGGUGAAAUGCAUAGAUAUUACACAGAAUACCGAUUGCGAAGGCAGAUUACUAACAAUAUACUGACGCUGAGGGACGAAAGCGUGGGUAGCGAACAGGAUUAGAUACCCUGGUAGU